GGUUCAGGAUGAGCGCUAGCGACAGGCCUAACACAUGCAAGUCGAGGGGCAGCACAAGGAGCAAUCUGAGGUGGCGACCGGCGCACGGGUGAGUAACACGUAUGCAACCUGCCUGUAAGCGGGGAAUAACCCGUUGAAAGACGGACUAAUACCGCAUAAUACUAAAUUACUGCAUGGUAAUUUAUUUAAACAUUUAUGGCUUACAGAUGGGCAUGCGCAUGAUUAGCUAGUUGGAGAGGUAACGGCUCCCCAAGGCAACGAUCAUUAGGGGUUCUGAGAGGAAGGUCCCCCCACACUGGUACUGAGACACGGACCAGACUCCUACGGGAGGCAGCAGUGAGGAAUAUUGGUCAAUGGACGAGAGUCUGAACCAGCCAAGUCGCGUGCAGGAAGAAUUGUCCUAUGGAUUGUAAACUGCUUUUGCAGGGGAAUAAAGUGCAUCACGUGUGAUGUUUUGUAUGUACUCUGCGAAUAAGGAUCGGCUAACUCCGUGCCAGCCGCCGC
Molecule: ribosomal RNA, 504 nt
Filed under: uncultured bacterium
Lineage: Bacteria
Description: bacterial SSU rRNA
Rfam family: Bacterial small subunit ribosomal RNA
Source: RNAcentral